GAAAUGAAAAGAAAAAAUGGAGAUAAGAGGUUUUCACCUCUCUGUAAAAGAAAAAAAAAAAGAAAAAAAGAAAAGAAGUCUGUAGAGAGAAAGAGAAGAAACCAAUGACAGAACGAUGAAGGGAAAGUUCACCUCACCCGAAGUGCCGGAAGCCGCCGGAGAAGGUGGUGAACGCCGAAAUUUGAGGGUAGAAGUUGUUAAGAGGAAGAAAUUCAAGCCAACCUUCAUGGAUGGUGUGCUAUUAAGAUGGCUUGAAUGAAGAGGAAUAAACAAGGAAUUCAAAAGAUUUGAGCCCAAAAACAUAAUUGGAUAUACGGGAAUCGAAGGAACUAGAAAUUCGAGGAGAAGCCGGUUAACUGUAGCGAUCAAGUUCCUGGUGCCUACUGAGCCGUCAAACACCACUAGUGCUGUUAAACAUCUGUUGUAUUGUUUGUGCAUAUAUUUAAGAGUAUUCCAAAAUAGUUAAAAUUUGUGAGUUACAUGUCAAAGGAGGUUUU
Benincasa hispida (wax gourd) is the source of this 497-nucleotide long non-coding RNA. RefSeq lists it as uncharacterized. NCBI's taxonomy places the organism in Eukaryota, Viridiplantae, Streptophyta, Magnoliopsida, Cucurbitales, Cucurbitaceae. The record is from RefSeq and is a predicted model, not a curated record.